AAUUAGAAAGCGAAUAAUCGCGUUUAGUUUCGACCUAAAUUUUGAGUAAACUCUCUAAUUU
RNAcentral lists this transfer RNA (61 nucleotides) under Pacifastacus leniusculus (signal crayfish). Its description in RNAcentral is "tRNA-Arg". Lineage: Eukaryota; Metazoa; Arthropoda; Malacostraca; Decapoda; Astacidae. The record is from RNAcentral.